Molecule: ribosomal RNA, 465 nt
Filed under: uncultured bacterium
Lineage: Bacteria
Description: bacterial SSU rRNA
Rfam family: Bacterial small subunit ribosomal RNA
Source: RNAcentral
UGCCAGACUCCUACGGGAGGCAGCAGUGAGGAAUAUUGGUCAAUGGCCGUAAGGCUGAACCAGCCAAGUAGCGUGAGGGAAGACUGCCCUAUGGGUUGUAAACCUCUUUUAUGCGGGGAUAAAGGUGUCCACGUGUGGAUGUUUGCAGAUACCGCAUGAAUAAGGACCGGCUAAUUCCGUGCCAGCAGCCGCGGUAAUACGGAAGGUCCGGGCGUUAUCCGGAUUUAUUGGGUUUAAAGGGUGCGUAGGCGGAGGCUUAGGUCAGAGGUAAAAUGGGGGGGCUCAACGUCGUCGAGCCGUUGAAACUGGGUGCCUUGAGUGGGCGAGAAGUACGCGGAAUGCGUGGUGUAGCGGUGAAAUGCAUAGAUAUCACGCAGAACUCCGAUUGCGAAGGCAGCAUACCGGCGCCCAACUGACGCUGAAGCACGAAAGCGUGGGUAUCGAACAGGAUUAGAUACCCCUGUA